UAGGGAAUUUUUCACAAUGGGCGAAAGCCUGAUGGAGCGACGCCGCGUGCAGGAGGAAGGCCUUCGGGUUGUAAACUGCUUUUAUCGGUGACGAUUAUGACGGUAGCCGAAGAAUAAGGGUCUGCUAACUACGUG
This 135-nucleotide ribosomal RNA is filed under the name uncultured bacterium. RNAcentral's name for it is "partial 16S ribosomal RNA". It matches the Rfam family "Bacterial small subunit ribosomal RNA", at positions 355 to 507 of the family's 1533-position model. The record is from RNAcentral.